This is a long non-coding RNA of Spinacia oleracea (spinach), 1347 nucleotides long. RefSeq lists it as uncharacterized. Lineage: Eukaryota; Viridiplantae; Streptophyta; Magnoliopsida; Caryophyllales; Amaranthaceae. The transcript has 6 exons. The record is from RefSeq and is a predicted model, not a curated record.
ACUUUUCGUGUCCCCCGUUAAAUUUACUAAAAUACCCUCCUCAUCUUCUGAUUCAACUUAAGAAAGCGUUACACUCAUCUUCUGAGAAAAUUGAGAAAGCGUUACACUGAUUCAACCCUUCCCCGUAUUCCUCCCGUUUUCUCUCUCCUUCGAUCUUCUUCAUCUUCCUCAAAUCCUCUCCUUCCUCUCCUCGAUCUUCUUCAUCUUCUGCAACAUGGGUUUUAGGGUUUCUAGAAAUUUUUUCAUUGGAGGUGAGAUAUUCAAAUUGAAACUUUCGUAAUAAAUAAUCAAAUUUAGGGGUUUAGGAAAGGGGAUUGGAUUAUAGAUAAGAACAAAUUGAAGGUGGAUAAUGGAGGAGAGAGAAGACGAUGGUGGGUGAUUAACCUAGAAAUCCACGAUGGUGGUGAUUAUCCUCCGCCGCCGUCAACGAUAUAUGUGGAUUUUUAGGUUUUCUUAGCUUUUGAUUUCUGGGUUUUCUUAGCUUUUGAUUUAUGGGUUUUUGUUUGACAAUCUAAUACGAAUUGAUAACCGGUAUUUGAUUUGUGUUUUUACUAUGCUCUUGAUUUCGUGGAUGUGAAUGAUGUGUUUCAUUUUUAAUAUCCAGUUGAAGCCCUCAAAAAUGCAGUUGAAGGUUCAUCGGCAAGGCAGGGACAACUUCAGUGCAGAAGAAUAAAGAGAGUGAGGGUGUUGGAGUGGUGAUGAUGAAGAAGAUGAAAAGAGAAAGAGGAGGGUCUAAAUGAAACAAAUUCCAUCUAACGCGGCGUUACCAGUAAUUUGGGUUGAUUUGGAUCAUGAUGGUCGGAUUAGUGGUGCCGAAGCGGUCGCUUUUUUUUUCAAGGAUCAAUUCUAAGCAUCCCUUUUGCUGUCUAUGGGCUUGCAGCUUCACGAUAUAACUUAUGUCCAGAAUUGAUUUUAUUAUAUGGAAGCAAGACCAGAAUCCCAGAUGAAGUUAGAAAGACAACAAUCUUGCAUAUAUUCUGGAAAGUUAUGGUGAAAUUCUCCAAGUAUUUAACUGAUGGUGUCUAUCUUGGGGGAUAUACUUUGUUGUCUUAUCAAUGCAAGGGACAGUCUUUGGAAAAAAAUAGACGACGAACAAGCAGCCUCAAGUACUAGAGAAAAUACAUUUCUGCACAACUGUUUUUGGAGUAUCUUGAACUUGAGGGCUGCAGUUCUGCUUCUGCAAAUGACGACAGCCUAUAAUCAAUUUUUUUUGAAAUGUUAAGUCUUUUUAUUACGAUUUUGGGAUGAUUUUUUUUUUCAUCUUUUUUUGGGUACUGUGAACUGAAAUUUUUGAAAUAUUAAGUUGCAGGAUGGGUCCUUGAUUGCUGGUGAUUUUGAGAUUCUUUG